ACAUUGGCUACAGGUGAGAACUAAACUCAAUUAAUACAUUGGCUACAACUGAGAACUAAACUCAAUUAAUACAUUGGCUACAGGUGAGAACUAAACUAAAUUAAUACAUUGGCUAUAGGUGAGAACUAAACUCAAUUAAUACAUGGCAUAAUAAACAUGGCGGG
Molecule: long non-coding RNA, 164 nt
Organism: Clupea harengus (Atlantic herring)
Lineage: Eukaryota; Metazoa; Chordata; Actinopteri; Clupeiformes; Clupeidae
Exons: 2
Source: RefSeq, a predicted model, not a curated record